This 45-nucleotide non-coding RNA is filed under the name Schistosoma curassoni. Lineage: Eukaryota; Metazoa; Platyhelminthes; Trematoda; Strigeidida; Schistosomatidae. The record is from RNAcentral.
AUCCAGCCAACGAGUCCCAAAUAGAACGAAACAUAUGUCCUAAAU